This 452-nucleotide ribosomal RNA is filed under the name Actinomadura cremea. RNAcentral describes it as "bacterial SSU rRNA". It matches the Rfam family "Bacterial small subunit ribosomal RNA", at positions 18 to 485 of the family's 1533-position model. Lineage: Bacteria; Bacillati; Actinomycetota; Actinomycetes; Streptosporangiales; Thermomonosporaceae. The record is from RNAcentral.
CGUGGCUCAGGACGAACGCUGGCGGCGUGCUUAACACAUGCAAGUCGAGCGGAAAGGCCCCUUCGGGGGUACUCGAGCGGCGAACGGGUGAGUAACACGUGAGCAACCUGCCCCUGACUCUGGGAUAAGCCCGGGAAACUGGGUCUAAUACCGGAUAUGACCACUCCAGGCAUCUGGUGGUGGUGGAAAGUUUUUCGGUUGGGGAUGGGCUCGCGGCCUAUCAGCUUGUUGGUGGGGUGAUGGCCUACCAAGGCGACGACGGGUAACCGGCCUGAGAGGGCGACCGGUCACACUGGGACUGAGACACGGCCCAGACUCCUACGGGAGGCAGCAGUGGGGAAUAUUGCGCAAUGGGCGGAAGCCUGACGCAGCGACGCCGCGUGGGGGAUGACGGCCUUCGGGUUGUAAACCCCUUUCAGCAGGGACGAAGCUAACGUGACGGUACCUGCAGA